UUAUUUUCCCCUCUUUUCCCUUUUUUUAAAGUUAAUUCUCAAACUUAUUUUUGAUAGGUUGAAUUGGAUGAAGACUGUAGCUUGGUGUUAGCAACAAUAUUACCACCUAUCUUCAGUUAAAGUUCAAUUUCAGGGAGACUUGCUCUUGGACUUUUCAGCAACACUCUGUGAAACCUAAAGCUUAUUGCGAACUUUUUUUUUUUUUAAUCUUAGUGUAGUUGUUUCAAUAACAAACAAACUCAUUGUCAUUUUCUUUUCUUCUUUUUUUGCUUAUCAAAUUGUAACUCUUUCACCUAUAUACAUAACAGUACUAUUAUGCAUCCAUUUGAACUUGGUUACAAGAACUAUCAUGAGAAAUAUUUUAUAGGGAUUAAGCAUCUAGCAAAUAACGAUUAUCUGAAGAAUUUGAAUCUUCUGUGGAAAUAUGAUGAUGGGAUGUAUUGCUUGGAUUCUUUCAGAAUUUGAGAAGUUGAUGUAGGUAUGGAAGUCAGUUAGACUUGUCUAUAAUUAAAUGUUACAUUUGAUUAUAAUCAAAUUUGAAGAAUCUUGACUUGUGAUCAAAUGCAUGAAUAUUUAUAUAUACAGAAUAGGCAAUGAACCUUUAUUCUGUUAGGAUUUUACUAUGCAAUUCUUGGGGUUGGAGUGGAGGGUUUAGGAUAUUUUCUACCUUGGGUGACACUCAUCCAAGAAGCAAUGGUUUUGACAAUGUUGGAACAGGAGAAACUGGUAGAUCUUUAGUUUUUAUUCUUUGUUUUCUGAUUUAUUGUUAGUUUUUACUAAAUUACACCCUUACAUUCUAUAAUUUUUAAUAGAAAAUAGUUGAUUGGCUUGCUAAAAACCGUAAGAAAGAUGAAGGCACAGAUCUUCUGAAAGACAAGCAAGCAUUUACCAUGAUGAAGCAAUCAUCUAUGACUUAGACUAAUAUUAGAACUGGGUUCAGAAUUGCUGGACAGGAGCAUGAGGAAAUGACUGGAAAAGAGCCAAAUGUGAUUGUAAAUCCUUAUGAAGUUGUUGCUCUUGGAGCUAUAGUUCAGGACUUGAAAUUUUAGGUGGUGUGAUGACAGAUUAUCUGAAGGAACCCAACCUUACCAAUUUCCAAAUCAAGGUUGUUUUCUUUUCCACUGCAGCAGAUGAAUAUAAACCAGUAUUAAGGUGAGAGAGUUUGUGAGGGACAACAAAUCUCUUGGAAUCUUUUGCUUAGAUGGCAUCCCACAUGUGCCACAUGGAGUUCCUCAAAUUGUGGUGAAAUUUGGUAUUGAUGCAAUGGUAUCCUUUCGGUCACUGUAGUUGACAAGGGAAUUGGAAAGAAGCCGGAUAUCGCCAUAACUGGUGCUAGCACCUUGUAAAGUGAUGCAUUCUUGAGGUUGGAGACUCAUCCAAGAAGCAAUGGCUUUGACAAGGUUGGAACAAGAGAAACUGGUAGACAUUUAGUUUAU
Quercus robur (English oak) is the source of this 1436-nucleotide long non-coding RNA. RefSeq lists it as uncharacterized. Lineage: Eukaryota; Viridiplantae; Streptophyta; Magnoliopsida; Fagales; Fagaceae. The transcript is spliced from 5 exons. The record is from RefSeq and is a predicted model, not a curated record.